Molecule: ribosomal RNA, 1355 nt
Filed under: uncultured bacterium
Lineage: Bacteria
Description: bacterial SSU rRNA
Rfam family: Bacterial small subunit ribosomal RNA
Source: RNAcentral
CCUGGCUCCCAUAAAGGCUGGCGGCGCGCCUAACACAUGCAAGUCGAACGCUUGAGAGAGAGCUUGCUUUCUCAAGCGAGUGGCGAACGGGUGAGUAACGCGUGAGGAACCUGCCUCAAAGAGGGGGACAACAGUUGGAAACGACUGCUAAUACCGCAUAAGCCCACGGCUCGGCAUCGAGCAGAGGGAAAAGGAGCAAUCCGCUUUGAGAUGGCCUCGCGUCCGAUUAGCUAGUUGGUGAGGUAACGGCCCACCAAGGCGACGAUCGGUAGCCGGACUGAGAGGUUGAACGGCCACAUUGGGACUGAGACACGGCCCAGACUCCUACGGGAGGCAGCAGUGGGGAAUAUUGCACAAUGGGGGAAACCCUGAUGCAGCGACGCCGCGUGGAGGAAGAAGGUCUUCGGAUUGUAAACUCCUGUUGUUGAGGAAGAUAAUGACGGUACUCAACAAGGAAGUGACGGCUAACUACGUGCCAGCAGCCGCGGUAAAACGUAGGUCACAAGCGUUGUCCGGAAUUACUGGGUGUAAAGGGAGCGCAGGCGGGAAGACAAGUUGGAAGUGAAAUCCAUGGGCUCAACCCAUGAACUGCUUUCAAAACUGUUUUUCUUGAGUAGUGCAGAGGUAGGCGGAAUUCCCGGUGUAGCGGUGGAAUGCGUAGAUAUCGGGAGGAACACCAGUGGCGAAGGCGGCCUACUGGGCACCAACUGACGCUGAGGCUCGAAAGUGUGGGUAGCAAACAGGAUUAGAUACCCUGGUAGUCCACACUGUAAACGAUGAUUACUAGGUGUUGGAGGAUUGACCCCUUCAGUGCCGCAGUUAACACAAUAAGUAAUCCACCUGGGGAGUACGACCGCAAGGUUGAAACUCAAAGGAAUUGACGGGGGCCCGCACAAGCAGUGGAGUAUGUGGUUUAAUUCGACGCAACGCGAAGAACCUUACCAAGUCUUGACAUCCCUUGACGAUGCUGGAAACAGUAUUUCUCUUCGGAGCAAGGAGACAGGUGGUGCAUGGUUGUCGUCAGCUCGUGUCGUGAGAUGUUGGGUUAAGUCCCGCAACGAGCGCAACCCUUAUGGUCAGUUACUACGCAAGAGGACUCUGGCCAGACUGCCGUUGACAAAACGGAGGAAGGUGGGGAUGACGUCAAAUCAUCAUGCCCUUUAUGACUUGGGCUACACACGUACUACAAUGGCGUUAAACAAAGAGAAGCAAGACCGCGAGGUGGAGCAAAACUCAGAAACAACGUCCCAGUUCGGACUGCAGGCUGCAACUCGCCUGCACGAAGUCGGAAUUGCUAGUAAUCGCAGAUCAGCAUGCUGCGGUGAAUACGUUCCCGGGCCUUGUACACACCGCCC